UUGACCUUACUCUACAGGAUUUCAUUUCUAUAGUAAGCGUCUGUAUCUUGUUCUUUCCGAACUAGACACAUUAUUCAGACUCGAUGAAGAGGCUGAUGCUUAUGCAUGCAAUUGGAUGCGGAUGUUCCCAUUCACGUUAGUGUACGGGUUCAUCAUUGAUGAUAAUCAUCAUGCAGGGCCUCACUGAGAGUC
Molecule: non-coding RNA, 192 nt
Organism: Sphaeroforma arctica JP610
Lineage: Eukaryota; Ichthyosporea; Ichthyophonida
Source: Rfam